CGGGGUGCACCAGGCGCGAAAACUUUGCAAUACACGAAAGUGUGACAGGGUCAUCCCGAGUGCCGACCGCUGAGGUUGGCUUUUACCCAGUCUAGAAAGCUGGGGGAAUAAGGAGAGGGCAAGUCUGGUGUCAGCCGCCGCGGUAAUACCAGCUCUCCGAGUGGUGUGGACGUUUAUUGGGCCUAAAGCAUCCGUAGCUGGCUGAUCAAGUCCCCUGUUAAACCCACCGAUUUAAUCGUUGGCUUGCGGGGGAUACUGCUCGGCUAGGGGACGAGAGAGGCAGACGGUAUUCCCGGGGUAGGGGUGAAAUCCUAUAAUCCCGAGAAGACCACCAGUGGCGAAGGCUGUCUGCUAGAACGCGCCCGACGGUGAGGGAUGAAAGCUGGGGGAGCGAACCGGAUUAGAUACCCGGGUAGUCCCAGCUGUAAACGAUGCAGACUAGGUGUUUGGACGGCCACGUGCCGUUCUAGUGCCGCAGGGAAGCUGUUAAGUCUGCCGCCUGGGGAGUACGAUCGCAAGAUUGAAACUUAAAGGAAUUGGCGGGGGAGCACAAGGGCGAAUCGCG
RNAcentral lists this ribosomal RNA (565 nucleotides) under uncultured archaeon. RNAcentral's name for it is "bacterial SSU rRNA". It matches the Rfam family "Archaeal small subunit ribosomal RNA", at positions 326 to 897 of the family's 1478-position model. The record is from RNAcentral.